This 884-nucleotide ribosomal RNA is filed under the name Helvella orienticrispa. RNAcentral describes it as "eukaryotic LSU rRNA". It matches the Rfam family "Eukaryotic large subunit ribosomal RNA", at positions 62 to 959 of the family's 3401-position model. Lineage: Eukaryota; Fungi; Ascomycota; Pezizomycetes; Pezizales; Helvellaceae. The record is from RNAcentral.
AGAUCACAGGGAUUGCCCCAGUAACGGCGAGUGAAGCGGCAGGAGCUCAAAUUUGAAAUCUGGGGCCCCCGGCCUCCGAGUUGUAAUUUGGAGAGGCUCCUUCGGGGGGGAGCGCUGGCCCAUGUUCCUUGGAACAGGACGUCGCAGAGGGUGAGAAUCCCGUGCCAGGCCGGCUGCCUCCUCCCGCGUGAAGGGCCUUCGACGAGUCGAGUUGUUUGGGAAUGCAGCUCCAAGUGGGUGGUAAAUUUCAUCUAAAGCUAAAUACCGGCGGGAGACCGAUAGCGCACAAGUAGAGUGAUCGAAAGAUGAAAAGCACUUUGAAAAUAGAGUCAAAAAGUACGUGAAAUUGUUGAAAGGGAAGCGCUUGAGACCAGACUCAGACCCAGGCAAACACCGCGCCCCCAGGGGCCGUGCAAUUGCCCGGUGCUGGGCCAGCAUCAGUUGGCGUGGCGGGACAAGGGCGCGGGAAAUGUGGCUCCCCUCGGGGAGUGUUAUCAGGCCCGCGCCGGAUGCCGCCGACGCCGACUGAGGACCGCGCCUCGGCUAGGAUGCUGGCUUAAUGGCCUUCAGCGACCCGUCUUGAAACACGGACCAAGGAGUCUAACAUCUAUGCGAGUGUUUGGGCGCCAAACCCUUGCGCGGAAUGAAAGUGAGCGGAGGUGGGAACCCCUCACCGGGCGCACCAUCGACCGAUCCUGAUGUCUUCGGAUGGAUUUGAGUAGGAGCAUAGCUGUUGGGACCCGAAAGAUGGUGAACUAUGCCUGAAUAGGGUGAAGCCAGAGGAAACUCUGGUGGAGGCUCGCAGCGGUUCUGACGUGCAAAUCGAUCGUCAAAUUUGGGUAUAGGGGCGAAAGACUAAUCGAACCAUCUAGUAGCUGGUCUGC